This 274-nucleotide ribosomal RNA is filed under the name uncultured bacterium. RNAcentral describes it as "partial 16S ribosomal RNA". It matches the Rfam family "Bacterial small subunit ribosomal RNA", at positions 524 to 796 of the family's 1533-position model. The record is from RNAcentral.
UACGUAGGGGGCACGCGUGGUCCGGAAUUCCUGGGUGUAAAGGGCGUGUAGGCGACCCCUUAAGUUGAAUGUGAAAUCUCCCGGCUCAACUGGGAGGAGUCAUUCAAUACUGAGGGGAUAUGAGGACAGAAGAGGGAAGUGGAAUUCCCGGUGUAGCGGUAAAAUGCGUAGAUAUCGGGAGGAACACCAGUGGCGAAGGCGGCUUCCUGGUCUGUCCCUGACGCGGAUGCGAGAAAGCCAGGGGAGCACACGGGAGGAGAUAACCCGGUAGUCC